CGCUGGCGGCGUGCCUAAUACAUGCAAGUCGAGCGGAAUGAUGAAGAAGCUUGCUUCUUCUGAUUUUAGCGGCGGACGGGUGAGUAACACGUGGGCAACCUACCUUGUAGAUUGGGAUAACUCCGGGAAACCGGGGCUAAUACCGAAUAAUCCAUUUUGCUUCAUGGCGAGAUGUUGAAAGACGGUUUCGGCUGUCACUACAAGAUGGGCCCGCGGCGCAUUAGCUAGUUGGUAGGGUAAUGGCCUACCAAGGCGACGAUGCGUAGCCGACCUGAGAGGGUGAUCGGCCACACUGGGACUGAGACACGGCCCAGACUCCUACGGGAGGCAGCAGUAGGGAAUCUUCCACAAUGGACGAAAGUCUGAUGGAGCAACGCCGCGUGAGUGAAGAAGGUUUUCGGAUCGUAAAACUCUGUUGUAAGGGAAGAACACGCACGAGAGUAACUGCUCGUACCUUGACGGUACCUUAUUAGAAAGCCACGGCUAACUACGUG
This 494-nucleotide ribosomal RNA is filed under the name uncultured bacterium. Its description in RNAcentral is "bacterial SSU rRNA". It matches the Rfam family "Bacterial small subunit ribosomal RNA", at positions 34 to 507 of the family's 1533-position model. The record is from RNAcentral.